CAGGCCUAACACAUGCAAGUCGAACGGUAACAGGAAGCAGCUUGCUGCUUUGCUGACGAGUGGCGGACGGGUGAGUAAUGUCUGGGAAACUGCCCGAUGGAGGGGGAUAACUACUGGAAACGGUAGCUAAUACCGCAUAACGUCGCAAGACCAAAGAGGGGGACCUUCGGGCCUCUUGCCAUCGGAUGUGCCCAGAUGGGAUUAGCUUGUUGGUGAGGUAACGGCUCACCAAGGCGACGAUCCCUAGCUGGUCUGAGAGGAUGACCAGCCACACUGGAACUGAGACACGGUCCAGACUCCUACGGGAGGCAGCAGUGGGGAAUAUUGCACAAUGGGCGCAAGCCUGAUGCAGCCAUGCCGCGUGUAUGAAGAAGGCCUUCGGGUUGUAAAGUACUUUCAGCGGGGAGGAAGGUGUUGUGGUUAAUAACCGCAGCAAUUGACGUUACCCGCAGAAGAAGCACCGGCUAACUCCGUGCCAGCAGCCGCGGUAAUACGGAGGGUGCAAGCGUUAAUCGGAAUUACUGGGCGUAAAGCGCACGCAGGCGGUCUGUCAAGUCGGAUGUGAAAUCCCCGGGCUCAACCUGGGAACUGCAUUCGAAACUGGCAGGCUUGAGUCUCGUAGAGGGGGGUAGAAUUCCAGGUGUAGCGGUGAAAUGCGUAGAGAUCUGGAGGAAUACCGGUGGCGAAGGCGGCCCCCUGGACGAAGACUGACGCUCAGGUGCGAAAGCGUGGGGAGCAAACAGGAUUAGAUACCCUGGUAGUCCACGCCGUAAACGAUGUCUAUUUGGAGGUUGUUCCCUUGAGGAGUGGCUUCCGGAGCUAACGCGUUAAAUAGACCCCCUGGGGAGUACGGCCGCAAGGUUAAAACUCAAAUGAAUUGACGGGGGCCCGCACAAGCGGUGGAGCAUGUGGUUUAAUUCGAUGCAACGCGAAGAACCUUACCUGGUCUUGACAUCCACAGAACUUUCCAGAGAUGGAUUGGUGCCUUCGGGAACUGUGAGACAGGUGCUGCAUGGCUGUCGUCAGCUCGUGUUGUGAAAUGUUGGGUUAAGUCCCGCAACGAGCGCAACCCUUAUCCUUUGUUGCCAGCGGUCCGGCCGGGAACUCAAAGGAGACUGCCAGUGAUAAACUGGAGGAAGGUGGGGAUGACGUCAAGUCAUCAUGGCCCUUACGACCAGGGCUACACACGUGCUACAAUGGCAUAUACAAAGAGAAGCGACCUCGCGAGAGUAAGCGGACCUCAUAAAGUAUGUCGUAGUCCGGAUUGGAGUCUGCAACUCGACUCCAUGAAGUCGGAAUCGCUAGUAAUCGUGGAUCAGAAUGCCACGGUGAAUACGUUCCCGGGCCUUGUACACACCGCCCGUCACACCAUGGGAGUGGGUUGCAAAAGAAGUAGGUAGCUUAACCUUCGGGAGGGCGCUUACCACUUUGUGAUUCAUGACUGGGGUGAAGUCGUAACAAGGU
Molecule: ribosomal RNA, 1464 nt
Filed under: Citrobacter sp. T7(2011)
Lineage: Bacteria; Pseudomonadati; Pseudomonadota; Gammaproteobacteria; Enterobacterales; Enterobacteriaceae
Description: 16S ribosomal RNA
Rfam family: Bacterial small subunit ribosomal RNA
Source: RNAcentral